AGGGAGCUAGUUUAUUUGAACGUAAACUUUCAAAGUUUAAGGAGAAUGUAUAUUCGUUUCCUG
Molecule: transfer RNA, 63 nt
Filed under: Eurylepta cornuta
Lineage: Eukaryota; Metazoa; Platyhelminthes; Polycladida; Euryleptidae
Description: tRNA-Trp
Source: RNAcentral